GAUGAACGCUGGCGGCGUGCCUAAUACAUGCAAGUCGAACGCUGAAGGAGGAGCUUGCUCUUCUGGAUGAGUUGCGAACGGGUGAGUAACGCGUAGGUAACCUGCCUGGUAGCGGGGGAUAACUAUUGGAAACGAUAGCUAAUACCGCAUGACAACAGUUAUUGCAUGAUAACUGUUUAAAAGGGGCAACUGCUCCACUACCAGAUGGACCUGCGUUGUAUUAGCUAGUUGGUGAGGUAACGGCUCACCAAGGCGACGAUACAUAGCCGACCUGAGAGGGGGAUCGGCCACACUGGGACUGAGACACGGCCCAGACUCCUACGGGAGGCAGCAGUAGGGAAUCUUCGGCAAUGGACGGAAGUCUGACCGAGCAACGCCGCGGGAGUGAAGAAGGGUUUCGGAUCGUAAAGCUCUGUUGUAAGAGAAGAACGAGUGUGAGAGUGGAAAGUUCACACUGUGACGGUAUCUUACCAGAAAGAGACGGCUAACUACGUG
RNAcentral lists this ribosomal RNA (495 nucleotides) under uncultured bacterium. RNAcentral describes it as "partial 16S ribosomal RNA". It matches the Rfam family "Bacterial small subunit ribosomal RNA", at positions 28 to 507 of the family's 1533-position model. The record is from RNAcentral.